Molecule: transfer RNA, 76 nt
Filed under: Enterobacter cancerogenus
Lineage: Bacteria; Pseudomonadati; Pseudomonadota; Gammaproteobacteria; Enterobacterales; Enterobacteriaceae
Description: tRNA-Thr
Rfam family: tRNA
About the family: Transfer RNA (tRNA) molecules are approximately 80 nucleotides in length. Their secondary structure includes four short double-helical elements and three loops (D, anti-codon, and T loops).
Source: RNAcentral
GCCGACUUAGCUCAGUAGGUAGAGCAACUGAGUUGUAAUCAGUAGGUCACCAGUUAGAUUCCGGUAGUCGGCACCA